Molecule: ribosomal RNA, 1532 nt
Filed under: Bifidobacterium pseudocatenulatum DSM 20438 = JCM 1200 = LMG 10505
Lineage: Bacteria; Bacillati; Actinomycetota; Actinomycetes; Bifidobacteriales; Bifidobacteriaceae
Description: bacterial SSU rRNA
Rfam family: Bacterial small subunit ribosomal RNA
Source: RNAcentral
UUUUUGUGGAGGGUUCGAUUCUGGCUCAGGAUGAACGCUGGCGGCGUGCUUAACACAUGCAAGUCGAACGGGAUCCAUCAGGCUUUGCUUGGUGGUGAGAGUGGCGAACGGGUGAGUAAUGCGUGACCGACCUGCCCCAUACACCGGAAUAGCUCCUGGAAACGGGUGGUAAUGCCGGAUGCUCCGACUCCUCGCAUGGGGUGUCGGGAAAGAUUUCAUCGGUAUGGGAUGGGGUCGCGUCCUAUCAGGUAGUCGGCGGGGUAACGGCCCACCGAGCCUACGACGGGUAGCCGGCCUGAGAGGGCGACCGGCCACAUUGGGACUGAGAUACGGCCCAGACUCCUACGGGAGGCAGCAGUGGGGAAUAUUGCACAAUGGGCGCAAGCCUGAUGCAGCGACGCCGCGUGCGGGAUGACGGCCUUCGGGUUGUAAACCGCUUUUGAUCGGGAGCAAGCCUUCGGGUGAGUGUACCUUUCGAAUAAGCACCGGCUAACUACGUGCCAGCAGCCGCGGUAAUACGUAGGGUGCAAGCGUUAUCCGGAAUUAUUGGGCGUAAAGGGCUCGUAGGCGGUUCGUCGCGUCCGGUGUGAAAGUCCAUCGCUUAACGGUGGAUCUGCGCCGGGUACGGGCGGGCUGGAGUGCGGUAGGGGAGACUGGAAUUCCCGGUGUAACGGUGGAAUGUGUAGAUAUCGGGAAGAACACCAAUGGCGAAGGCAGGUCUCUGGGCCGUUACUGACGCUGAGGAGCGAAAGCGUGGGGAGCGAACAGGAUUAGAUACCCUGGUAGUCCACGCCGUAAACGGUGGAUGCUGGAUGUGGGGCCCGUUCCACGGGUUCCGUGUCGGAGCUAACGCGUUAAGCAUCCCGCCUGGGGAGUACGGCCGCAAGGCUAAAACUCAAAGAAAUUGACGGGGGCCCGCACAAGCGGCGGAGCAUGCGGAUUAAUUCGAUGCAACGCGAAGAACCUUACCUGGGCUUGACAUGUUCCCGACAGCCGUAGAGAUAUGGCCUCCCUUCGGGGCGGGUUCACAGGUGGUGCAUGGUCGUCGUCAGCUCGUGUCGUGAGAUGUUGGGUUAAGUCCCGCAACGAGCGCAACCCUCGCCCUGUGUUGCCAGCACGUCAUGGUGGGAACUCACGGGGGACCGCCGGGGUCAACUCGGAGGAAGGUGGGGAUGACGUCAGAUCAUCAUGCCCCUUACGUCCAGGGCUUCACGCAUGCUACAAUGGCCGGUACAACGGGAUGCGACACGGCGACGUGGAGCGGAUCCCUGAAAACCGGUCUCAGUUCGGAUUGGAGUCUGCAACCCGACUCCAUGAAGGCGGAGUCGCUAGUAAUCGCGGAUCAGCAACGCCGCGGUGAAUGCGUUCCCGGGCCUUGUACACACCGCCCGUCAAGUCAUGAAAGUGGGUAGCACCCGAAGCCGGUGGCCUAACCCUUUGUGGAUGGAGCCGUCUAAGGUGAGACUCGUGAUUGGGACUAAGUCGUAACAAGGUAGCCGUACCGGAAGGUGCGGCUGGAUCACCUCCUUUCU